Long non-coding RNA from Equus caballus (horse), 3542 nucleotides. NCBI's taxonomy places the organism in Eukaryota, Metazoa, Chordata, Mammalia, Perissodactyla, Equidae. The record is from Ensembl.
AGCGAACCUGGCUGCUGCCUCCUGCAAGAUUCAGCAGUUGAUGUGUUUAAGAUUGCUGUGGGAAGUUCCAGGCUGAAAGCUCUUAUGAAAUCCUGCCCGUUGGGUAGCUCACCAUCCACCCUGUGUGAAUUGUCCUGACUUGAGAAAACAGAAUGCUGGAGGCCAGUGAGUUUGUUGAGAAACUGGCAGCCCAGCAGACAUGCUGAGCCAGCAGGACACCAGCGGGAACUGAAGGUCUUUGUACCGGGAAGAAAACAGUGCUUUUUCCUUGAAGGAGAGGAGCCCUGGCACUUGGAAGGCCCUUGGCUUGCCAAGCAACUCUGUCCAUCGAUUCUGUUUUCACGCCCCGAGGAAUACGGAAUGGGAAGAGAGGAUCCUGGGGAGCGAGCUUUGGAAACUCGGCCCGCCGGCCCGCCCGCCCGGGGAAGGCCGAGAGCCGGCCCGGCUGCCGCGGGGGCUGUGUCCCGGGCGGGGCCGCGGCGCGAGGAGGGCGGGCGGCGCUGUCAGCGGUGGGCGGCGCCCGGAGAAGCGCGCUCCGGGCCAGCUGGUGGCUCAGCGGCAGCGCCGCGAACGGUGACAGGUUCUGCAAAUAACAGCUGCGGAGCAAUCUUUCUGUUUGGACAACGUGGGAAGGGCCAUUGUUCACAAAUUGGUCUCUUCAACAACACCUGCAUGCACAGAUAAUAAUCCAUUGUCGGUCUCCGGCUUUCAAAGACAAAAGACAGCCGCAGAGGGAGGAGCGAGCAGUUACUGGAGACAGUAGAGCAACUGCUGAACCGAGGAGAGUGCAAACGGGGACUCCAGGUUCUGUUCCUGGAUCCGCCGGGGACAAUAACUCACAGUAGGGCUCUGUUUCAUUGGCCGGUAGUGAGCGCCACCUCUUUCAUCCUUGCAGGCCACCACCGCCGCCACUGCAAUCCUCAUUUCCUAUGCAGUUACAAAGCGUGCUCCCUUGCAAAUCAGCGAUCAAUACUGGGAAUAGUACUACCCCUUGAGGUUUCUCUACACCUUGACUGCUGCUGUGCCGGGUCACAUUGGAGCUUGAGGCAAAAGGAAAUAAUGGUCAAGUAUGACAUUCCCGGGAGAAUGGAUCAGAUUAGCUCAACUUGAGGCGAGUAGCCAUCUUGGUACCAAGCAACUAUGACCAGAGGACAGGAUCUUGUGGUUGAGCGCCUACUGGAAGCCCAUCCCUGAAGAUGGAAAAUAGAGAUUUCUAGAGAAGAGGAAUUGCUUCCAGAGAAAGAGGGACCUGCUACAUGGCAGUGCUGGCUGUUAAACCAAAGUAAUAUUGUCCAUGUUUUAUAUUUUGCUUGAUCUUCAAUUGUCAAGAGUAAACACCCAACAAUGUUCCACUCAGUGAAUUCUGUAGAUUAAUGCCUCCAAGUGCAAAAGUGGUAAAAAUGAAUGCAAUUUGAAAUUUAUUCUUUAUGUAAGUAGUGUCUGUGAGAAGGGAGUGGGGAUUUGUUCACGAGCCACAGGCUUGUGCUCCAAAAUUCCACGUAAGAUAGAUCUGUUGUGGUCUAGUUCGAGGCUGAUGGUCUAACACAGCUUUUGCGCAUCUGAAAUACCAGGCUAAGAAUGGCAAACACGUGGACCCAUUAUUCUAUCUGUCGCCUGGCCCGUGGCAGACAUCACUAGUAGGCUAAUAAGCAGUAAGCAGAACUCAUUACUGAUAAGCUUCAGAAUCCUUCUCAACACUGCUCUCUAAGAAGCCAGCAUUAACUAAGCAGGUAGCACAUGAAAAAAACCCACUUGCCACUGCUGCCCAAGAGGCACGCUGGGUGACUUAUCACGGACCCACCAUGAGCUACUGGAGCCAGCAUUUUAUUGUCAUGCGUGAAAGUUUGGAUGGAGACUGCUGUUCUGAGCAGAUUAGAGGCAGGAUGCGGUCAAGUCAUCAAGGUAACUUCGCCAUCUGUGUUCUUGUUACAAAUCCAAGGAGUCCAGCCCAAGCCCUCUCCCCUGAGAAGGCUGGAACAGACAAAGGCCUACUUCUUGUUUAGUUGAAGGCAGGUGAGUGGUUCUGUUGGGUCACAGUUGAGAAGGUGGUUGAGUGAGCAGUCAUAGGCCUCUGGAGUCAGGCCUUCACGGGACGCUUCAAAAGGCCCAUUUCUUCCUGGGUCCCGGGUAGGGGCCAGCCAAGGAAGAGCCAUCAGAGAAGCCUGCCUCCUUUCCUCCCAGUGUCUCAGGCCUCCAUCCGCAGCAGUGCAGGCUUGAGGGGCCUGGCAGGCUUCCAGGCACAAACACUGCACAGUCGGGUUUUUUUUGUUUUUCAUUUUUGAGGAAGAUUAGCCCUGAGCUAACUACUGCCAAUCCUCCCCUUUUUGCUGAGGAAGACUGGCCCUGAGCUAACAUCCAUGCCCAUCCUCCUCUACUUUAUAUGUGGGAUGCCUACCACAGCAUGGCUUUUGCCAAGCGGUGCCAUGUCUGCACCCAGGAUCCAAAGCGGCGAACCCCGGGCCACCAAGAAGCGGAAUGUGCUCACUUAACCACUGCACCACUGGGCCAGCCCCUGCACGGUGGGUUAUGAAGCCAAACCUGAUGGCCUUGCUCAUCCCCUCGUGCCUCCUCCCUGCUCCCUGACAGUUAAGUGAAUGAAGUCCAGAAAGGUUAAGAGAUUCCAUCAAAGUCAUACAGGUAAUCAGUGAGUUCCAGGUUGCGUGAAGAGCUAGCGUUCAUGGUGUGCCUCUCUGAAGCCCUAUGAAAGACCAAGUUUCGUUGUUAUCCUGGUUUUACCUGUGAGAAAACCAAUGCCACACUGCCCAGGAAUUGGCUUUUGGAGGCUGAGAAGUCCCACCAUCUGCCAUCGGCAGGCUGGAGACCCAGGAAAGUCAGUGGUGUCAUUCGGUCUGAAGACCUGAGAACAAAGGGAACCAAAGGUGUAAAUCCCCGUCGGAGGGCGGGAGAAGAUGAGAUGCUCCAGCUCAGCAGUGAGGCAGAAAAAAGGGGCAAAUUCCUUCUUCCUCCACCUUUUGUUCUAUCCAACCCCCUAUCGGACUGGAUGAUACCUACCCACAGCGGGGAGGGCAAUCUACUUUACUCAGUCCACCAAUUCAAACGCUAAUCUCACCUGGAAACACCCUCACAGACACACCCAGAAAUAAUGUGUAAUCUGGGCACCUUGUGGGCCAGUCAACUUGAUACAGAAAAUUAGCCAUCACAAGUAUAUUCCUGUGAAAUCAUCACCUUGAACAUAUCCAUUUCCCUCAAAAAUCUCCUCAUGCCCCUUUCCAAUGGCUCCCUUCUGCCCAUCCUUACCUCCUCUGCCCCCCAGACAACCACUGAUCUACUUUUGGUCACUAUAGUUAGCUUUUCCUAGAAUUUUUUAUAAAUGGAACCAUGCAUUGAAUCUUUUCUGUCUGGCUUCUUUCAUUCAGCAUAAUUAUUUUGAGAUUCAUCCAUGCUGUUGCAUGUAUCAGUGGUUCAUUCCUUUUUUAUUACUGAGUAGUGUUCCAUUAUACGGAUAUACCACAAUUUGUUUAUUCAUUCCCCUGUGGAUGGACGUUUGGGGGUAAUUACAAAUAAAGCUGCUAUGAACAUUC